AGUAAAAGUCGUAACAAGGUCUCCGUUGGUGAACCAGCGGAGGGAWCAUUACCAGAGUGCCCUAGGCUCUCCAACCCAUUGUGAACUUACCAAACGUUCCCUCGGCGGGCUCAGCGCGCGGUGGCCUCCGGGCCUCCGGGCGUCCGCCGGGGAAAACCAAACCCUGAUUUAAUCGUAUUUCUCUGAGGGGCGAAAGCCCGAAAACAAAAUGAAUCAAAACUUUCAACAACGGAUCUCUUGGCUCUGGCAUCGAUGAAGAACGCAGCGAAAUGCGAUAAGUAAUGUGAAUUGCAGAAUUCAGUGAAUCAUCGAAUCUUUGAACGCACAUUGCGCCCGCCGGCACUCCGGCGGGCAUGCCUGUCCGAGCGUCAUUUCAACCCUCAGGCCCACCCUUCCGGGGGAGCGGGCCUGGUUCUGGGGAUCGGCGGCCCUCGCGGCCCCCGUCCCUCAAAUUCAGUGGCGGUCGCGCCGCAGCCUCCCCUGCGUAGUAGCACAACCUCGCACCGGAGAGCGGAACGACCACGCCGUAAAACACCCAAUUUUUUAAGGUUGACCUCGGAUCAGGUAGGAAUACCCGCUGAACUUAAGCAUAUCAAUAAGCGGAGGACGGAGGCGGAGAAAGAGCAAGAGCUGGACGCGACGACUUUUGCUGGUUGGAGUGCUUCUGAACACCGYCCUUCUUUCUUUCUUGGAAAAAAAGGAAUUAAUUCAAAUCGGCCUCAGAUUGGUAGGACUACCCGCUGAACUUAAGCAUAUCAUUAAGCCGAAGGAAUUUUU
This 777-nucleotide ribosomal RNA is filed under the name fungal sp. RNAcentral describes it as "eukaryotic LSU rRNA". The record is from RNAcentral. Lineage: Eukaryota; Fungi.